Long non-coding RNA from Daphnia pulicaria, 145 nucleotides. RefSeq lists it as uncharacterized. The transcript has 2 exons. The record is from RefSeq and is a predicted model, not a curated record. Lineage: Eukaryota; Metazoa; Arthropoda; Branchiopoda; Diplostraca; Daphniidae.
UUUAUAUCUUGUCUUUCAUAUUUUGAACAUCUGAAGGUGACUACUGCUCUAGUCGCUCUUCAUGCGGACAUAUUGUGGUGCUUGGUCGAAAUUCUUUUUCAAGUUGGCGUAACAAAGAAGUUCAUAGACAUUGUGUUUGGCUCCU